Molecule: ribosomal RNA, 425 nt
Filed under: uncultured Clostridium sp.
Lineage: Bacteria; Bacillati; Bacillota; Clostridia; Eubacteriales; Clostridiaceae
Description: bacterial SSU rRNA
Rfam family: Bacterial small subunit ribosomal RNA
Source: RNAcentral
UGGGGAAUAUUGGGCAAUGGGCGAAAGCCUGACCCAGCAACGCCGCGUGAAGGAAGAAGGUUUUCGGAUUGUAAACUUCUUUUAUCAGGGACGAAAACAAUGACGGUACCUGACUAAGAAGCCCCGGCUAACUACGUGCCAGCAGCCGCGGUAAUACGUAGGGGGCAAGCGUUAUCCGGAUUUACUGGGUGUAAAGGGAGCGUAGACGGCAUGGCAAGUCUGAAGUGAAAGGCCAGGGCUCAACCCUGGGACUGCUUUGGAAACUGUCAGGCUGGAGUGCAGGAGAGGUAAGUGGAAUUCCUAGUGUAGCGGUGAAAUGCGUAGAUAUUAGGAGGAACACCAGUGGCGAAGGCGGCUUACUGGACUGUAACUGACGUUGAGGCUCGAAAGCGUGGGGAGCAAACAGGAUUAGAUACCCUGGUAGU